CCGGUUGUCACGCCAGUGGCAGCGCCGGGUAGCCAUGGCCGGUUCGGAUAAGCGCUGAAAGCAUCUAAGUGCGAAGCCGACUCCAAGAUUAGGUCUCCCACCGGGUUAACCGGGUAAGGGCCCUGGUAGACAACCAGGUUGAUAGGCCGCAGGUGUAAGAGGAGCAAUCCUUUGAGCUGAGCGGUACUAAGAGCCCGAGGGCUUGUUCACCUAUAACUCACUCU
RNAcentral lists this ribosomal RNA (224 nucleotides) under Chloroflexi bacterium 13_1_40CM_3_65_12. RNAcentral's name for it is "partial 23S ribosomal RNA". It matches the Rfam family "Bacterial large subunit ribosomal RNA", at positions 2717 to 2925 of the family's 2925-position model. Lineage: Bacteria; Bacillati; Chloroflexota. The record is from RNAcentral.